UAAUUGGAGAGUUUGAUCCUGGCUCAGAUUGAACGCUGGCGGCAUGCCUAACACAUGCAAGUCGAACGCGAAAGGGGGCAACCCUGAGUAGAGUGGCGGACGGGUGCGUAACACGUAGGAAUCUACCCAGUAGCGGGGGACAACCCGGCGAAAGCCGGGCUAAUACCGCAUAAGCCCUAUGGGGGAAAGCAGGGGAUCUUCGGACCUUGCACUAUUGGAUGAGCCUGCGGCGGAUUAGCUAGUUGGUAGGGUAAAGGCCUACCAAGGCGACGAUCCGUAGCUGGUCUGAGAGGACGACCAGCCACACUGGGACUGAGACACGGCCCAGACUCCUACGGGAGGCAGCAGUGGGGAAUAUUGGACAAUGGGGGCAACCCUGAUCCAGCAAUGCCGCGUGUGUGAAGAAGGCCUUCGGGUUGUAAAGCACUUUCGGUGGGGACAAAAAAGGUGGAGCUAAUAUCUUCGCCCUUGAUGGUACCCAAAGAAGAAGCACCGGCUA
Molecule: ribosomal RNA, 499 nt
Filed under: Gammaproteobacteria bacterium
Lineage: Bacteria; Pseudomonadati; Pseudomonadota; Gammaproteobacteria
Description: bacterial SSU rRNA
Rfam family: Bacterial small subunit ribosomal RNA
Source: RNAcentral